AUUGAGCGCUGGCGGCAGGCCUAACACAUGCAAGUCGAGCGGAUGAAGGGAGCUUGCUCCUGGAUUCAGCGGCGGACGGGUGAGUAAUGCCUAAGAAUCUGCCUGGUAGUGGGGUAUAACGUCCGGAAACGGGCGCUAAUACCGCAUACGUCCUGAGGGAGAACGGGGGAGAUCUUCGGACCUCACGCUAUCACAUGAGCCUAGGUCGGAUUAGCUAGUUGGUGGGGUAAAGGCCUACCAAGGCGACGAUCCGUAACUGGUCUGAGAGGAUGAUCAGUCACACUGGAACUGAGACACGGUCCAGACUCCUACGGGAGGCAGCAGUGGGGAAUAUUGGACAAUGGGCGAAAGCCUGAUCCAGCCAUGCCGCGUGUGUGAAGAAGGUCUUCGGAUUGUAAAGCACUUUUAGUUGGGAGGAAGGGCAGUAAGUUAAUACCUUGCUGUUUUGACGUUACCAACAGAAUAAGCACCGGCUAACUUCGUG
Molecule: ribosomal RNA, 484 nt
Filed under: uncultured bacterium
Lineage: Bacteria
Description: partial 16S ribosomal RNA
Rfam family: Bacterial small subunit ribosomal RNA
Source: RNAcentral